UGCGGAAUAGGGCAGCUUCUUUUCCGUGGCGCAAGGGGAGGGACGGAGCCGCCGCUAGAGGGUCGCGUGGGGAGGAAAGCCUUCCCCAAGAAAAUGCCUGGGAAAGUCUGUGCCUGCUCUCUGUAGCCAGAGAGCUGCUGCCAUACAUGGACUCUCACUACCAAGAAGACCAGAAGAGGACCAAUGGGGACACCAUUGGGAUCCAGGGGGUGGUGAUAUUUUCUACUCAAUCUGUCAUCUCUGUCACUCUCUUUCUGUCCCCCACUAUUCUCUUAUUUCUGUCUCUCACACUCUCCCCUCUCCCCCUCAUAUUCACUGUUAAAUAAAAUUGAUAC
Long non-coding RNA from Melozone crissalis (California towhee), 335 nucleotides. RefSeq lists it as uncharacterized. NCBI's taxonomy places the organism in Eukaryota, Metazoa, Chordata, Aves, Passeriformes, Passerellidae. The record is from RefSeq and is a predicted model, not a curated record. The transcript is spliced from 3 exons.